This 72-nucleotide transfer RNA is filed under the name Bos taurus (domestic cattle). It matches the Rfam family "tRNA". From Rfam's summary of the family: Transfer RNA (tRNA) molecules are approximately 80 nucleotides in length. Their secondary structure includes four short double-helical elements and three loops (D, anti-codon, and T loops). The record is from Rfam by way of RNAcentral. RNAcentral also lists the same sequence under 2 other names. Lineage: Eukaryota; Metazoa; Chordata; Mammalia; Artiodactyla; Bovidae.
UUCCUGGUGGCUCAGAUGGUAAAGUGUCUGCCUGCAAUGCAGGAGACCCAGGUUCAAACCCUGGGUAGGGAA